RNAcentral lists this ribosomal RNA (754 nucleotides) under Bacillus subtilis. RNAcentral describes it as "bacterial SSU rRNA". It matches the Rfam family "Bacterial small subunit ribosomal RNA", at positions 44 to 785 of the family's 1533-position model. Lineage: Bacteria; Bacillati; Bacillota; Bacilli; Caryophanales; Bacillaceae. The record is from RNAcentral.
GGGCUAUCUGCAGUCGAGCGGACAGAUGGGAGCUUGCUCCCUGAUGUUAGCGGCGGACGGGUGAGUAACACGUGGGUAACCUGCCUGUAAGACUGGGAUAACUCCGGGAAACCGGGGCUAAUACCGGAUGGUUGUUUGAACCGCAUGGUUCAAACAUAAAAGGUGGCUUCGGCUACCACUUACAGAUGGACCCGCGGCGCAUUAGCUAGUUGGUGAGGUAAUGGCUCACCAAGGCAACGAUGCGUAGCCGACCUGAGAGGGUGAUCGGCCACACUGGGACUGAGACACGGCCCAGACUCCUACGGGAGGCAGCAGUAGGGAAUCUUCCGCAAUGGACGAAAGUCUGACGGAGCAACGCCGCGUGAGUGAUGAAGGUUUUCGGAUCGUAAAGCUCUGUUGUUAGGGAAGAACAAGUACCGUUCGAAUAGGGCGGUACCUUGACGGUACCUAACCAGAAAGCCACGGCUAACUACGUGCCAGCAGCCGCGGUAAUACGUAGGUGGCAAGCGUUGUCCGGAAUUAUUGGGCGUAAAGGGCUCGCAGGCGGUUUCUUAAGUCUGAUGUGAAAGCCCCCGGCUCAACCGGGGAGGGUCAUUGGAAACUGGGGAACUUGAGUGCAGAAGAGGAGAGUGGAAUUCCACGUGUAGCGGUGAAAUGCGUAGAGAUGUGGAGGAACACCAGUGGCGAAGGCGACUCUCUGGUCUGUAACUGACGCUGAGGAGCGAAAGCGUGGGGAGCGAACAGGAUUAGAUAC